Molecule: ribosomal RNA, 425 nt
Filed under: uncultured bacterium
Lineage: Bacteria
Description: bacterial SSU rRNA
Rfam family: Bacterial small subunit ribosomal RNA
Source: RNAcentral
GUGGGGAAUAUUGGACAAUGGGCGCAAGCCUGAUCCAGCCAUGCCGCGUGAGUGAUGAAGGCCUUAGGGUUGUAAAGCUCUUUUGUCCGGGACGAUAAUGACGGUACCGGAAGAAUAAGCCCCGGCUAACUUCGUGCCAGCAGCCGCGGUAAUACGAAGGGGGCUAGCGUUGCUCGGAAUCACUGGGCGUAAAGGGCGCGUAGGCGGCCGAUUAAGUCGGGGGUGAAAGCCUGUGGCUCAACCACAGAAUUGCCUUCGAUACUGGUUGGCUUGAGACCGGAAGAGGACAGCGGAACUGCGAGUGUAGAGGUGAAAUUCGUAGAUAUUCGCAAGAACACCAGUGGCGAAGGCGGCUGUCUGGUCCGGUUCUGACGCUGAGGCGCGAAAGCGUGGGGAGCAAACAGGAUUAGAAACCCUAGUAGUCC